Dromaius novaehollandiae (emu) is the source of this 1643-nucleotide long non-coding RNA. RefSeq lists it as uncharacterized. The record is from RefSeq and is a predicted model, not a curated record. The transcript is spliced from 5 exons. NCBI's taxonomy places the organism in Eukaryota, Metazoa, Chordata, Aves, Casuariiformes, Dromaiidae.
UUCCUUUGCUGAUCUGUAGCCCAAGGAUGCAAAAAUCCUUCAUCAUCUCAUCACAAACAUCUCUUCUUAUCUGUUGCUGAAGGUGUGACGUCAGGCUGCAGACUACAAGAAUGCUGGUGCAUCAGAUAAUGAGUACAUUAGUCUGGAUUUCAAGGGACCUGUGCUGCAUAGAAGCAAGUGCUGAAGAGUGGUGGAGACACAAAAGAGUAUGGGAAAGUUGUUCAAGUGACAAGCUGCUGAAGUGAUAUUGGCAACUGGCAAGUCUGGUGUGGGAAAGAGAUGAUCAUCACAGACAGCAUCUGAGGAAGGUCUUCAGACAAAGGGUUAAGAGGUCAUGGACUCCCCAUCUGGACCGCAAUUCCCAAAAUGCAUUCUGGACAGUCUCCUGACUGACCCAUGCUGUGCUUCUACCAGAUCCGACUGUGGUGUGCCACUAUUUGGGAAGGUGGGGCAAUAAAGGGAAAUAAAACACAAGGUACCACUGUGUUUCAGAUUCCAAUCGUGAGCUGAUAUUACCAAGGAUUCAGUUUAUCCCUGAAUUGCUACUUUAGCUCUUCGCACAUGAGCACUUCUAUGUUUUCAUUUUUUUCUGCUCUCUAUUUGGAAAUGCACUGCUGAUGUGUUUCAUUUUUAUGUAAUGAGCAACACUUCUCAAAUCUCUGUAUUAUAUCUCUGCAGUUAGCCUCUUCUGCCUGAGCCUCAUCUACCUGAAUUAACGGCAAGCUACUACAAACAUUAAGGGCUUCAAGACCAGCUGUUAUCAUCAAGUCUCCUCUGUCUGUUUUCUUUUCUGGUGGUAACCAUGGCUUGCAGACACAAAAUGAAUCAUUACUUUAAAAACUUUCCUGUUGUUGUCUGUCUUUCCAGGAAUUUCUGUUUUAACAAGGCUUUUGACUGCUAAUUCAGAGACCAAGUGAGAUCUGUGGUCUCUAUGCUGUAUCUAAAUUGAUCUUAUACUUACCGCUGUAAUCACCAGGAUCCUAGUCCACUGAUAGUCCAGACAUGAAACUUUGUGAAACUGCAACAUAAUUCUCUCUUGGUCUUCAACCCCAAAUUUGUUUUAUACGUAAAUGGAUGGGGAGAGAGGUGGGUGUGCUAGGGUGAGGUGGAGAGGGGCUGAUGCUUCAAGGGGGUCUCUGCCUAACACAAGUAUGACACCUCCUUUGUAAUACAGUAUCUAUAGCAAGUUUACAGCUACUUUACACCCCUACUCCACAUGCAAUUUCUGCAUUAUUUCCACAUUGUUUUAAAUGGAAUUUACCUUUCAUAUGAAGGGUUCCGUUCCCCCAGCAUCCCUCCUCCCAGUGCUGGGGUGGCCCUAAAUACAUAAUUUGGACAGGGUCAACUGCUGCAACCCUAUGACAGUCAUUUUAACAGCUGGCUGUGGUCUGCUUUGUUUUUUGGUUUGUUUUUCAUUUUUUUCCCCCACUAUCAGGAAAAUACCUGUUUUAUUUUAUUUUCCCCUUUCUUAUAAAAAUGACACAUUCUUAUAGGUUUCAUCUGCUUAUUUUGUAAUUCUCCUUUAAGAAAGUCUUCUCUUCUCUCUCUGUGAAUCUUGCCUAGUAGGCAUAAGCUUGUUGGAACCAAGGUUUAUUGUUCUACAAUGUCAAAUCAUUCCUUUCUGUCAAUGAACUGCAGACAGA